UACGUAGGGAGCAAGCGUUGUCCGGAAUCAUUGGGCGUAAAGCGCGCGUAGGCGGCCCUGUAAGUCCGUUGUGAAAGUCAAAAGGCUCAACCUUUGAAAGCCGAUGGAUACUGCAGGGCUGGAGUCCGGAAGAGGCGAGUGGAAUUCCUGGUGUAGCGGUGGAAUGCGCAGAUAUCAGGAGGAACACCAAUAGCGAAGGCAGCUCGCUGGGACGGUACUGACGCUGAGGCGCGAAAGCGUGGGGAGCGAACAGG
Molecule: ribosomal RNA, 254 nt
Filed under: uncultured bacterium
Lineage: Bacteria
Description: partial 16S ribosomal RNA
Rfam family: Bacterial small subunit ribosomal RNA
Source: RNAcentral